Molecule: ribosomal RNA, 496 nt
Filed under: uncultured bacterium
Lineage: Bacteria
Description: partial 16S ribosomal RNA
Rfam family: Bacterial small subunit ribosomal RNA
Source: RNAcentral
GAUGAACGCUGGCGGCGUGCCUAAUACAUGCAAGUCGAGCGAACAGACGAGGCGCUUGCUCCUCUGACGUUAGCGUCGGACGGGUGAGUAACACGUGGAUAACCUACCUAUAUGACUGGGAUAACUUCGGGAAACCGGAGCUAAUACCGGCUAAUAUAUUGAACCGCAUGGUUCAAUAGUUAAAGACGGUUUUGCUUUCACUUAUAGAUGAAUCCGCGCCGGAUUAGCUAGUUGGUAAGGUAACGGCUUACCAAGGCAACGAUGCGUAGCCGAUCUGAGAGGGUGACCAGCCACACUGGAACUGAGACACGGUCCAGACUCCUACGGGAGGCAGCAGUGGGGAAUAUUGCAAAAUGGGCGAAAGCCUGAUGGAGCAAUGCCGCGUGUAUGAAGAAGGCCUUCGGGUUGUAAAAUACUUUUAGCGGGGAAGAAGAAAGUAAAAAUAAAACCUUAGCGCAUUGACGGUACCCACAGAAAAAGCAACGGCUAACUACGU